This 465-nucleotide ribosomal RNA is filed under the name uncultured bacterium. RNAcentral's name for it is "partial 16S ribosomal RNA". It matches the Rfam family "Bacterial small subunit ribosomal RNA", at positions 36 to 507 of the family's 1533-position model. The record is from RNAcentral.
GCCUCCCUCUUUCUUCGUGCUUAACACAUGCAAGUCGAACGGAAAGGCCCUGCUUGCAGGGUACUCGAGUGGCGAAUGGGUGAGUAACACGUGGGUGAUCUGCCCUGCACUUCGGGAUAAGCCUGGGAAACUGGGUCUAAUACCGGAUAGGAGCCAUUUUUAGUGUGAUGGUUGGAAAGUUUUUUCGGUGUAGGAUGAGCUCGCGGCCUAUCAGCUUGUUGGUGGGGUAAUGGCCUACCAAGGCGGCGACGGGUAGCCGGCCUGGGAGGGUGGACGGCCACAUUGGGACUGAGAUACGGCCCAGACUCCUACGGGAGGCAGAAGUGGGGAAUAUUGCACAAUGGGCGCAAGCCUGAUGCAGCGACGCCGCGUGGGGGAUGACGGCCUUCGGGUUGUAAACUCCUUUCGCUAGGGACGAAGCUUUUUGUGACGGUACCUAGAUAAGAAGCACCGGCUAACUACGUG